This 948-nucleotide long non-coding RNA is filed under the name Lynx pardinus (Iberian lynx). The record is from RNAcentral. Lineage: Eukaryota; Metazoa; Chordata; Mammalia; Carnivora; Felidae.
GCUCUCCUCUCCUGCUAAGUUUGGUCUUCUGGCAGUAAUUAAAACCUUCUGCCACCACCAUUGCUACCACUGCUGCUGGAACCACCAUACCAACCUUAGUUUCAUGGUUUGGCAAAGUUUUGGGCUCCACCACCUUAGGGGCCAGAGCUUUCAAAAAUUUCCUCCUUUCAUGGAUCCACAAUCUGAAGUGUGAUUGUUGUAAUUGCCAAAAUUAUUAUAGGUUCCGCCAUUUCCAAGUUGCUGCCAUUGUCACCAAAUCCAUUAUAGCCAUCCCUACUUCCACCACAUCCACCACCACCUUGACUGCCACAAAAGCUACCUCACCCACUGAAGUUUCUUCCAUAACCAGAGUUGUCAUUCCCACCAAGACCACCUCCAUGACCGCCAACAAAGUUUCCAGAACCACUUCGACCUUUGGGCUGGAUGAAGCACCAGCCGUCUCUUGCUCAGAGAUUUCCUUACUUCACAGCUCUGGCCAUUCACAGAAUGGCUUUUUGAAUAAUAAUCUUGUCUACAGAGUCAUGGUCAUCAAACGUUACAAAAGCAAAGCCUCUCUUUUGCCACUGCCUCAGUCAGUUAUGAUUUCAAUCACUUCAAUUUUCCCAUACCGUUCAAAAUAAUCUCUUAGAUGAUGUUCUAAUGCCACCAACAAAAAUCUUUGUCACAGUUAAGUGGGCACCAGGUCUUCGAGAAUCCUCUCUUGAGACCGCCCUCUUUGGUUCCACAACUCUUCCAUCCACCUCCUCCAUAGUGGCAUAUGUGACAAACCUAAGCCUCUGGAGUGUGAGGUGUUUGGAUCUGUCAUUACCACACAGUCUGUAAGCAUUCUCCGUUGCUCAAAAUGCUCAUUAGAUGUUUCAAAACUCAAACCUCCAAAGAAGAGCUCCCACAGCUCUUCAAGCUCUUCAAGGCGCAGCUGUUCACAAUGGCAGUGGGAGGGGAGACUUU